AUUGAACGCUGGCGGCAGGCCUAACACAUGCAAGUCGAACGGUAACAGGAAGAAGCUUGCUUCUUUGCUGACGAGUGGCGGACGGGUGAGUCAUGUCUGGGAAACUGCCUGAUGGAGGGGGAUAACUACUGGAAACGGUAGCUAAUACCGCAUAACGUCGCAAGCCCAAAGAGGGGGACCUUCGGGCCUCUUGCCAUCGGAUGUGCCCAGAUGGGAUUAGCUAGUAGGUGGGGUAACGGCUCACCUAGGCGACGAUCCCUAGCUGGUCUGAGAGGAUGACCGGCCACACUGGAACUGAGACACGGUCCAGACUCCUACGGGAGGCAGCAGUGGGGAAUAUUGCACAAUGGGCGCAAGCCUGAUGCAGCCAUGCCGCGUGUAUGAAGAAGGCCUUCGGGUUGUAAAGUACUUUCAGCGGGGAGGAAGGGAGUAAAGUUAAUACCUUGGCUGAUUGACGGUACCCGCAGAAGAAGCACCGGCUAACUCCGUG
This 490-nucleotide ribosomal RNA is filed under the name uncultured bacterium. RNAcentral describes it as "partial 16S ribosomal RNA". It matches the Rfam family "Bacterial small subunit ribosomal RNA", at positions 30 to 507 of the family's 1533-position model. The record is from RNAcentral.